UACGAAGGGGGCUAGCGUUGUUCGGAAUUACUGGGCGUAAAGCGCGCGCAGGCGGUUUUUCAAGUCAGUGGGGAAAGCCCGGAGCUCAACUCCGGAACUGCCAUUGAAACUGUAAAACUUGAGGACGAGAGAGGUGAGUGGAAUUCCCAGUGUAGAGGUGAAAUUCGUAGAUAUUAGGAAGAACACCAGUGGCGAAGGCGGCUCACUGGUCCGGUACUGACGCUGAGGUGCGAAAGCGUGGGGAGCAAACAGG
Molecule: ribosomal RNA, 253 nt
Filed under: uncultured bacterium
Lineage: Bacteria
Description: partial 16S ribosomal RNA
Rfam family: Bacterial small subunit ribosomal RNA
Source: RNAcentral